This 253-nucleotide ribosomal RNA is filed under the name uncultured bacterium. RNAcentral's name for it is "partial 16S ribosomal RNA". It matches the Rfam family "Bacterial small subunit ribosomal RNA", at positions 524 to 776 of the family's 1533-position model. The record is from RNAcentral.
UACGGGGGGGGCAAGCGUUGUUCGGAAUUACUGGGCGUAAAGGGCGCGUAGGCGGCGUGACAAGUCACUUGUGAAAUCUCUGGGCUUAACCCAGAACGGCCAAGUGAAACUGUUGUGCUAGAGUGCAGAAGGGGCAAUCGGAAUUCUCGGUGUAGCGGUGAAAUGCGUAGAUAUCGAGAGGAACACCAGAGGUGAAGACGGGUUGCUGGGCUGACACUGACGCUGAGGCGCGAAAGCCAGGGGAGCAAACGGG